GCUCAAUUUGAAAUCUGGCACCUUCGGUGUCCGAGUUGUAAUUUGUAGAAGCAUCUUUUGGAUUGGUCCUUGCAUAUGUUCCUUGGAACAGGACAUCAUAGAGGGUGAGAAUCCCGUUCAUGGUGGGGAAUCCAAUUCUUUGUAAAGUGCUUUCGAAGAGUCGAGUUGUUUGGGAAUGCAGCUCUAAGUGGGUGGUAAAUUCCAUCUAAAGCUAAAUAUUGGCGAGAGACCGAUAGCGAACAAGUACAGUGAUGGAAAGAUGAAAAGAACUCCGAAAGGAGAGUGAAAAAGGACGUGAAAUUGUUGAAAGGGAAGUGCUUGAGAUCAGUCUUAAGGUUUAGUGAUCAGUCUUCCUUUUGGUUGGUGCACUCACUAUUUCUUAGGCCAACAUCAGUUUUCGCGGCAGGAUAAUGACAUUGGAAUGUGGCUCUUUCGGGAGUGUUAUAGCCUUUGUUGAUACUGCCUGCUUAGACUGAGGACCGCGCUUUUGCUAGGAUGU
RNAcentral lists this ribosomal RNA (499 nucleotides) under Lipomyces tetrasporus. RNAcentral describes it as "partial 26S ribosomal RNA". It matches the Rfam family "Eukaryotic large subunit ribosomal RNA", at positions 107 to 626 of the family's 3401-position model. The record is from RNAcentral. Lineage: Eukaryota; Fungi; Ascomycota; Lipomycetes; Lipomycetales; Lipomycetaceae.